CUUGGUCUAUGGUCGCAUUUCCUGUGUAUAUGAACCAUUAUGUGUAUGAAAUGCGUGUAUAUGAACUGUGUGCAUGGGAUCUGGGAGGGGAGGGUUAACCGCAAAUGACACUAGGGUUAAUGCCUGCCGUAGUACGAAGGGCGGAUUGGUUUUGGGGAUGUGCUGGAACAGCAAAUGACACAACGGUUAACUCCUGCCACAGUACGAACGACAGACUGGUUUUGGGGGUGCGCUGGAACCGCAAAUGGCAUUGCGGUUGGUUUUUGUUUGCGUCUAUUUUUUAUGUUUAAUUAUUAUUUUCGGAUUAAAUUUUUAA
RNAcentral lists this long non-coding RNA (316 nucleotides) under Vigna radiata. Its description in RNAcentral is "long non-coding RNA (VRAD_LNC000727)". Lineage: Eukaryota; Viridiplantae; Streptophyta; Magnoliopsida; Fabales; Fabaceae. The record is from RNAcentral.